GUAACACGUAUGCAACCUACCUUUAACUGAGGGAUAGCCCAAAGAAAUUUGGAUUAAUACCUCAUAAUAUUACGAGAUCACAUGGUCAUGUAAUUAAAACUCCGGUGGUUAAAGAUGGGCAUGCGCAACAUUAGCUAGUUGGUAAGGUAAUGGCUUACCAAGGCGACGAUGUUUAGGGGGUCUUAAAGGAUGGUCCCCCACACUGGUACUGAGACACGGACCAGACUCC
RNAcentral lists this ribosomal RNA (229 nucleotides) under uncultured bacterium. Its description in RNAcentral is "partial 16S ribosomal RNA". It matches the Rfam family "Bacterial small subunit ribosomal RNA", at positions 110 to 339 of the family's 1533-position model. The record is from RNAcentral.